RNAcentral lists this ribosomal RNA (497 nucleotides) under uncultured bacterium. RNAcentral describes it as "partial 16S ribosomal RNA". It matches the Rfam family "Bacterial small subunit ribosomal RNA", at positions 28 to 507 of the family's 1533-position model. The record is from RNAcentral.
GAUGAACGCUGGCGGCGUGCCUAAUACAUGCAAGUCGAGCGAACAGACGAGGAGCUUGCUCCUCUGACGUUAGCGGCGGACGGGUGAGUAACACGUGGAUAACCUACCUAUAAGACUGGGAUAACUUCGGGAAACCGGAGCAAAUACCGGAUAAUAUAUUGAACCGCAUGGUUCAAUAGUGAAAGACGGUUUUGCUGUCACUUAUCGAUGGAUCCGCGCCGCAUUAGCUAGUUGGUAAGGUAACGGCUUACCAAGGCAACGAUGCGUAGCCGACCUGAGAGGGUGAUCGGCCACACUGGAACUGAGACACGGUCCAGACUCCUACGGGAGGCAGCAGUAGGGAAUCUUCCGCAAUGGGCGAAAGCCUGACGGAGCAACGCCGCGUGAGUGAUGAAGGUCUUCGGAUCGUAAAACUCUGUUAUUAGGGAAGAACAAAUGUGUAAGUAACUAUGCACGUCUUGACGGUACCUAAUCAGAAAGCCACGGCUAACUACGUG